GACGAACGCUGGCGGCGUGCUUAACACAUGCAAGUCGAACGGUAAGGCCCUUCGGGGUACACGAGUGGCGAACGGGUGAGUAACACGUGGGUGAUCUGCCCUGCACUUCGGGAUAAGCCUGGGAAACUGGGUCUAAUACCGGAUAGGACCCUGGGAUGCAUGUCCUGGGGUGGAAAGCUUUUGCGGUGUGGGAUGGGCCCGCGGCCUAUCAGCUUGUUGGUGGGGUGAUGGCCUACCAAGGCGACGACGGGUAGGCGGCCUGAGAGGGUGACCGGCCACACUGGGCCUGAGAUACGGCCCAGACUCCUACGGGAGGCAGCAGUGGGGAAUAUUGCACAAUGGGCGCAAGCCUGAUGCAGCGACGCCGCGUGAGGGAUGACGGCCUUCGGGUUGUAAACCUCUUUCAGCACCGACGAAGCGCAAGUGACGGUAGGUGCAGAAGAAGGACCGGCCAACUACGUGCCAGCCGCCGCGGUAA
This 478-nucleotide ribosomal RNA is filed under the name uncultured bacterium. RNAcentral's name for it is "partial 16S ribosomal RNA". It matches the Rfam family "Bacterial small subunit ribosomal RNA", at positions 28 to 523 of the family's 1533-position model. The record is from RNAcentral.